RNAcentral lists this ribosomal RNA (482 nucleotides) under uncultured bacterium. RNAcentral's name for it is "partial 16S ribosomal RNA". It matches the Rfam family "Bacterial small subunit ribosomal RNA", at positions 30 to 507 of the family's 1533-position model. The record is from RNAcentral.
AUUGAACGCUGGCGGCAUGCCUUACACAUGCAAGUCGAACGGUAACGGGCCUUCGGGUGCCGACGUGUGGCGAACGGGUGAGUAAUACAUCGGAACGUGCCCGAUCGUGGGGGAUAACGAGGCGAAAGCUUUGCUAAUACCGCAUACGAUCUACGGAUGAAAGCAGGGGACCGCAAGGCCUUGCGCGGACGGAGCGGCCGAUGGCAGAUUAGGUAGUUGGUGGGAUAAAAGCUUACCAAGCCGACGAUCUGUAGCUGGUCUGAGAGGAUGAUCAGCCACACUGGGACUGAGACACGGCCCAGACUCCUACGGGAGGCAGCAGUGGGGAAUUUUGGACAAUGGGCGCAAGCCUGAUCCAGCCAUGCCGCGUGCAGGAUGAAGGCCUUCGGGUUGUAAACUGCUUUUGUACGGAACGAAAAGCCUUCUUUUAAUACAGGAGGGUCAUGACGGUACCGUAAGAAUAAGCACCGGCUAACUACGUG